UAAGCAGAGAAGGAACUUCUAAGG
This 24-nucleotide non-coding RNA is filed under the name Mus musculus (house mouse). The record is from RNAcentral. Lineage: Eukaryota; Metazoa; Chordata; Mammalia; Rodentia; Muridae.